GUUGACCUCGAAUCAGGUAGGAAUACCCGCUGAACUUAAGCAUAUCAAU
Molecule: ribosomal RNA, 49 nt
Filed under: Colletotrichum caudatum
Lineage: Eukaryota; Fungi; Ascomycota; Sordariomycetes; Glomerellales; Glomerellaceae
Also listed under: 1 other name
Description: partial 28S ribosomal RNA
Source: RNAcentral